RNAcentral lists this ribosomal RNA (301 nucleotides) under uncultured bacterium. RNAcentral's name for it is "partial 16S ribosomal RNA". It matches the Rfam family "Bacterial small subunit ribosomal RNA", at positions 509 to 807 of the family's 1533-position model. The record is from RNAcentral.
CAGCCGCCGCGGUAAUACGUAGGUGGCAAGCGUUGUCCGGAAUUAUUGGGCGUAAAGGGCUCGCAGGCGGUUUCUUAAGUCUGAUGUGAAAGCCCCCGGCUCAACCGGGGAGGGUCAUUGGAAACUGGGAAACUUGAGUGCAGAAGAGGAGAGUGGAAUUCCACGUGUAGCGGUGAAAUGCGUAGAGAUGUGGAGGAACACCAGUGGCGAAGGCGACUCUCUGGUCUGUAACUGACGCUGGGGAGCGAAAGCGUGGGGAGCGAACAGGAUUAGAGACCCCUGUAGUCCCUGUCUCUUAUAC